Molecule: long non-coding RNA, 3476 nt
Organism: Acinonyx jubatus (cheetah)
Lineage: Eukaryota; Metazoa; Chordata; Mammalia; Carnivora; Felidae
Exons: 3
Source: RefSeq, a predicted model, not a curated record
GGUUCCGCUAAUUCCCUGGUUGCUAAUGAGCUUCAGUCCCAGACCCUGAGGACGCGUCUAAACUUCGGGAGGAGUUUUAGUUUGUGCCCUUUGGCAGGCAGGGGAAAGAUCUUGGUCAUUCUGUGUACUGGGAUGCGUUUCUAGCUCAGUAUAGCACAUCCAGCUCUCAACUGAGCUACUGAAAAGGGGAAGAAAUGAGGCUCCAGGACUAUCCAGACUCGUCUCACGUCAAUUAUCUGGAAGUGAUUCCACAAAUGACUACUGGGUUGCAACCUGCAGUUUAAAAAGCACUGUUCUAAUAUUUGGGCAAUGUCAAGCUACCAAUGUGAAAUCAUUGAACACACUGUUGGGAAGAGAUGCAGACAAUUGGCUUCAGCCUAUAAGAACCAGCUCCAGAACAGCACUUUGAGGACUAAUAGAAAAUAUGGUAUUAUAUUCCUAUUUUUUAUUUGUUAAUUUCUUUUCAUGGGAGAAAGAGGAACACUUACUGGCAGGUCCACACUGCAAAACUCUGUAGGCACUAUUCACAUCUACAUGAAGGAUGGUAUCCAGAGUUUUACAAAGCAUAACUGUUCUUGGUGACCCUACUUCCUAGUACCCCUAAAAUGAUAACAUUAGCUUCCUUUUAAGGCUAGCAUAAGGGUACAAGGCAGAAGAAGUUCUAAAGUUCAGCAUGUAGCAGAAUCACCUGGAAUACUGGUUAAAACUAAAAUUACUGGGCUUUACACUGAGUCUCUGACUCUGUAGGUCUGGAGUGGGGCUUGAUAUUUUGCAUUUCUAAGUUCCCAAAAUGGUGGUGACAUUGUCAACUUAGGGACCACCUUUUAAGGACUGCUGAUAUAGAAUAAACUAAAUGUUUUCUCUGUGACCAGGAAAUACAUGGCUGGGCCACUUAACUAGAAUGCCUGCCUUAGGGAGUAAGGGCUCAGGGUAGAGUGGAGUCCCAAACUCUGAUGCCUAUUGGGGCUUGGCCGGCAACAGAAGUAUGUGUAGUGGCUAGCUGGGGUGUAGAAAAUGUUAUGUUUAGGAUAAAUUUAUUGGUUUUGAGGUUUAGGAUACUUAUAAAGGACAAACUGACCAAAGUCAAGGACACUGAUGGAGUAAGAGCUAGGCACUGAGGCUAGGAGAUGGGGUCGAAAAGAGCAGCCCAGGACCACAGUGUAAAAGAUAUAUUAAAAGAGGAAGAGGGACAGUCUCUAUCCCUCUUUCUUUCUAAUACUCCCUACUUUCACACUUUAAUAUCUGCUUCAGGAUCCUCAAAUUCCAGGGUAUUAAUAGAGACUGUUGGGUGAGAAUUAAAGGUACAGAGGUGUGAGAAGGUGUAUUGGCUUCCACUCAGCACUGGUGUGAAAGGGCUUGCUUAGCUUGCAAGCCUGAUUCCAGAGAAUGUAGUGUCAUGAGCUCUGCACUAGAUGGCAGGGUACCUUAGUGUUCCUGUUCCUUUUCCUCCCUCAAGACAGUGAGCCAGAUCUUUCUCUGGACUUUAUUUUGACUUAUCUGUAAAAUGAGAGCUUUGGGAUAGAUUACACUGAUGAGAGAUAGAAGCAGAAAAAUGUUCACCUUUACCCCAGAAGGCUGACCUAUAGCCUGCAUAGUUUUGAUAAGGAUCAAAUACAUGCUAGUUGCUACAUUCUUUUUUAAAAAUCUUUUUUAAUGUUUAUUUAUAUUUGAGAGAAAGACAGUGUAUGAACGGAGGAGGGGCAGAGAGACAGAGACAGAAUCUGAAAUAGGCUCCAGGCUCCAAUCUGUCAGCACAGAGCCCGAUGUGGGGCUGGAACUCACAAGCAAUGAGAUCAUGACCUGAGUCAAAGUCAGACGUUUAACCGACUGAGCCACCCAGGUGCCCCAGCUAGUUGCUACAUUCUUAAAGGGUCUCAUGACUGCCUGUAAAUCUCACCUAUAGUUAAUAUCUAACUGAAUGAUAAGCACCAGAGAAAUCUUGUGGAGGUAGUUUAAUGAGUAGAAAUUCGAAGAAAACAUGGUCUGAUACUCCCUGCAUGUCCCCUUCCCCUUGAGCACUAAGCAUAUAACUACCAGCUUCAUACAGAAGAAGUGAAGCUCUUUCUGCCCACGGGUCCUGUCCCCAUGCUACUUAAAUAAACUUACUAAUAUGUAUCAUAAAACAUCUCAAGAAUUCUUUCCUGAUUGAUGCAUUCAGUGAUCACUCAACAACAUCAUCAGGCCACUUCUAUGAGCUCUACAUGCCAAGGUGUGGUUCCUCUUGGAGGCUGGUUUUGGAAUUAAGGACUGGAGACAUUUUUUGAGUACCAGGAUACUGGACUAAUGAGCUUGCUGCCUCCCCAUAACUGACUACUAUCUUGGCAAGGAUGGACUUUCCACUCUUCCCUCUCCACUACCACCCUAGUCCCAGCAGUCACACUUCCAGUCAUCUAAGGGGCCCCAGCUAAGUACCAAACCCUCAUUGCCAUCAUACCCUGUGCUUAGUGUGUGUGUGUGUGUGUGUGUGUGUGUGUGUGUUUGAGGGGUGUGGGAUAGCCCAUAGGGCAUAAUGCUAAAAUGGAUUAAGAAGCUAACAACCCAAGAUUUGAACACUUACCUCCCCAUCUUUAACAUGGGCUAUGUCUUAUCAUGCCAGAGUUGUAAUACAUGCAAAUGAGUUGACAAAACAUUUCUCAGGAGUAUUGAAGUAUUGUAAGCAAAGAGCUGGAUCCAGAGUCAACCAGUCUGGGCUUGAAUCCUAUCUAGGCCACUUUUCAGUUCUUUGACCUUGAGCUAUUUAUCUCACUCAGCCUCAGAGUUUUCAUUUGUAACAUUUUUUUGGCUAAUAAUAUCCACUAGACCAGGAUUCUCAACCUCAGCACUAUUGACAUUGAUGUAAAUAAUUCCUUAUUGGAGUUGUCUUGUGCAUUGAGGGAUGUUUAACAGCAUCCCUGAUUCCUAUCCACAAGAUGUCAGUAGCACUCUCCACCCCCCCAAGUUGUGACAAUAAAAAUGACAUCCCAUUCAUUGCCAAAUGUCCCCAGUGGGUAAACCACCUCAGUUGAGAAGCACUCUCCUAGAACAUGGAGUUACUGGGGAGAAUGGAAUAUACAAGCACAUUGCAUUUUUUUUUUAAAUUGGUAUAACUGACUUUUAUUUUUUUUAAUUUAAUUUUUAAUUUUAAAAAUUUACAUCCAAAUUAGCAUAUAGUACAACAGUGAUUUCAGGAGUAGAUUCCUUAGUGCCCUUUACCCAUUUACCCCAUGCCCCCUCCCACAACCCCUCCAGUAACCCUCAGUUUGUUCUCCAUAUUUAUGAGUCACUUCUAUUUUGUCUCCCUCUCUGUUUUUAUAUUAUUUUUGUUUCCCUUCCCUUAUGUUCAUCUGUUUUGUCUCUUAGAGUCCUCAUAUGAGUGAAGUCAUGAUACUUGUCUUUCUCUGACUAAUUUCACUUAGCAUAAUACCCUCCAGUUCCAUCCAUGUAGUUGGAAAUGGCAAGAUUUCAUUAUUUUUGAUUGCCGAGUAAUACUCCAUUGU